UGGGGAAUAUUGGACAAUGGGCGGAAGCCUGAUCCAGCCAUGCCGCGUGUGUGAAGAAGGCCUUUUGGUUGUAAAGCACUUUAAGCGAGGAGGAGGCUACUUGGAUUAAUACUCUAGGAUAGUGGACGUUACUCGCAGAAUAAGCACCGGCUAACUCUGUGCCAGCAGCCGCGGUAAUACAGAGGGUGCGAGCGUUAAUCGGAUUUACUGGGCGUAAAGCGUGCGUAGGCGGCUUCUUAAGUCGGAUGUGAAAUCCCUGAGCUUAACUUAGGAAUUGCAUUCGAUACUGGGAAGCUAGAGUAUGGGAGAGGAUGGUAGAAUUCCAGGUGUAGUGGUGAAAUGCGUAGAGAUCUGGAGGAAUACCGAUGGCGAAGGCAGCCAUCUGGCCUAAUACUGACGCUGAGGUACGAAAGCAUGGGGAGCAAACAGG
Molecule: ribosomal RNA, 430 nt
Filed under: Acidobacteriota bacterium
Lineage: Bacteria; Pseudomonadati; Acidobacteriota
Description: Acidobacteria bacterium partial 16S ribosomal RNA
Rfam family: Bacterial small subunit ribosomal RNA
Source: RNAcentral